RNAcentral lists this ribosomal RNA (502 nucleotides) under uncultured bacterium. RNAcentral's name for it is "bacterial SSU rRNA". It matches the Rfam family "Bacterial small subunit ribosomal RNA", at positions 28 to 526 of the family's 1533-position model. The record is from RNAcentral.
GACGAACGCUGGCGGCGUGCCUAACACAUGCAAGUCGAACGGGGUUAUACGCUGGGCGCCCUUCGGGGCAACCUUGUAUAACCUAGUGGCGGACGGGUGAGUAACGCGUGAGCAACCUGCCUUUCACAGGGGGAUAACACUGGGAAACCAGUGCUAAUACCGCAUGAAAUUAUUAAACUACCUGGUUUGAUAAUCAAAGGAGCAAUCCGGUGAAAGAUGGGCUCGCGUCCGAUUAGCUAGAUGGUAGGGUAAAGGCCUACCAUGGCGACGAUCGGUAGCCGGACUGAGAGGUUGAUCGGCCACAUUGGGACUGAGACACGGCCCAGACUCCUACGGGAGGCAGCAGUGGGGGAUAUUGCACAAUGGGCGCAAGCCUGAUGCAGCAACGCCGCGUGAGGGAAGAAGGUUUUCGGAUUGUAAACCUCUGUCUUUGGUGACGAAGAAGUGACGGUAGCCAAGGAGGAAGCCACGGCUAACUACGUGCCAGCCGCCGCGGUAACAC